Molecule: long non-coding RNA, 2477 nt
Organism: Lytechinus pictus (painted urchin)
Lineage: Eukaryota; Metazoa; Echinodermata; Echinoidea; Temnopleuroida; Toxopneustidae
Exons: 2
Source: RefSeq, a predicted model, not a curated record
AGCCCUUUCUUACGAAAAGUCAACGAGCGAACCCGUAAUGGCGCCGUCCACAUCCACAAGUGUACCACCGCAAGAUGACUGUCUAGUUCACGGAUGUCAAAAAAGGAAAAUCACCGACGAUUUGCUAAAUAGGUUAGCAAGAGACAUCCCAAACGGCAACUACUACGAUUUAUGCGGAAAACUUGAAUAUGGCUAUGACCAGGCCAAGAACACAUUAGAUAAGAACAAGAAUGACUGCGCAAAAGCAACAAGGGAAUGUCUCGCUGGAUGGACUAAUAAAGCAACCAGGAGUUUGGCUGAUUUACACAGAGUCUUAAUUUUAGCUGGAUUGGGUGGUAAGAUUAACCACACCCUAAAGGUUUAAAAGGUCUCAGUGCCAUAAAUACGUGUCUGCAUUGGCAGAAUAUACUUGGGUUAAUAUUAAUUACAGUUUUAAAUCUGGGUCAGGCAAAGAUGCUUACUGCUUACAAUUAAUCCUGUUCAAUGUUAUGGGCAUGAAUCCAGGAGUGUCGGUUCCUAUACUGCAUUAAGCCUUCACUGUACAUUGCCCUCGCGCCAUUUUUAUUUUCCAUGUAAAUGAGAAGUCUAUACAUAUAUCGAAUCAGUAUGUUGAUAAACUGAUAAACAAACGAUUAAAUUGCACGUAUUUGUAAAAGUCGAAAAACUUCACAGCGUUACAUUUUCUAUCAAUUUCUAUUUACAAAAUAAUAAUGUGACUUAUAAAGUGCCAAAUCCACUAUGUAGAGUGCUUAAGGCGCAUAAAGAGCUAAGAGUUAAAUACAAGUUUUUAGAAGAUUUGUUAAAGUUUCGACAGAGGUACAUUUGUUAUGUCUUUAGAAAGGCUAUUCCACAAAGUGGGACAUGCAAACGAUUUUGAAAGUUUGAGAAUAACAAGAAGCUAGAAGUGGAUAAAUCAAUUCUGAUAUGGUGAGAAAGCUGAUGAGUUGAUGCACUUUUGAAAUUAAGUCGCUUUCAAGAACAUCCAUUCUGGACAGUGCUACGAUCAGAGGUAGCAAGGCAAGAUAUUGAUUGGCUUGGCACGUUUAUACUGUUUUGCUUUAAUCCCCACCAAUAGAACCAAUACUCAUGUUUACUUUACCAAAUUGAUAAAGAUAUACUUGGUUAAAUCAUGACCACUGCCAACUGAAAAGUGUGAAUAAUGGUAAUGUCAUUUCUUGCGAAAAAAAACAAUGUCAUCACGAAUAUCCACAUACAAAAAUAACACUAAUUAUGUUUUGGUUCGUUUCUCUCAAGUAGACAGUUUUACCACCAUUUGUAGGAGUGAUGAAGUUGAUUCCCGAAAAUGUGUGUGUGAUGAGAUUAGUCAUUACAGAAAUGAACUUUUGACAAGUUUUUGACCCUGCUUUACUUGAAAAGACAUAUUUUCUGCAGACAUAAUUUAUUUCCUUUUUAUUCAAUAAAAUUGAUUGGAUAAUAUUGUUUGGAUGAUGUUUGAAUCAAUGCAUUUCAGCGACAUGUAAUGGAUUUUUCGUGAGCUACCUGCAAUUACUGAAUAUUUUUUUACAUUGCAAUUUCCAUAUGGACACCAGAACUACUUCUGCGCAUGCAUUUGGUAGAUUUUACAAUACACAAUUCCGGUUUGUUUAUUGCAGACCGGGGGUGGUCAUGAUAAGAUCAAAGCUAUGAAUAAUGUGUGGAAUGUGAUUACGAUUUUUUAACAGAGUAAGAUUAAUUAUUUCAUUAUGUCACCGAACAGAAUCAAUCUUUUGCAGGGUUAAAGAGGACUAAAUAAAUAAUAAGGUUCAGAAUAAUAAAGCUAAUCUAUUGGUGAAUACUAGUCCGACCGGUAAAAGUGGCCAAUACAAACCAUAUCAAUCUUUGUAUAUUCUAAGCAAUAAGUUCUUCACUUUUGCCCAAUUUUUCGACCAGAUACAUAUUUACCAAAACAUCAGUCUGUAAGAGUAAAUCGCAAUCACACACGUACCAUCAGUAGUCACUGUCAUUUUCUAACAAACAAUUUGGUGAACGAGCGUUUUAUACUGUUUUUUUUUCUGUAGUGAAAUUUUGUAGCCUAAAUUUAUAAGAUUUUUCUUUCGAAUGUUAAGAUUACUCCGAUUAUAUCAAUUCGAUCUUAUUUUUCAAAAACAUCAUACACGUGGGGAUCAUAUCUGUGCCCUUUCUUUGUAUUAAACGCUAAAGUUUGACCAACGCAUAACGAUAAUUUUAACUUGUCUAGCUUUGAAUGCCAAUGACGCAAAUACAUCAAGUGUUUGGUUUGAUAUGUUCAUUACUUGGUAAAAAUUGUCAAAGCAAUUAUUUGGUGUUUCGAACACAUUUUGUGGAUUUCAAAAGUUGUAAUAACAUUUUGUUAAGAGCUUGAAUUCAUAGUUUGGCCUAUUUGCUUUUUCUCUUUGUUUGUUUUUCUUUUCAUUUUAAGGAUUACAGUGUAUUAUCAAAUAUAACAUUUGUUUCUAAUAUUGGUUGACGCACGUAUUGUGAAUUGAAAUGUAAACGCA